CGUGGAGACAGGUGGUGCAUGGCUGUCGUCAGCUCGUGUCGUGAGAUGUUGGGUUAAGUCCCGCAACGAGCGCAACCCUCACCCCUUGUUGCCACCAGGUAAAGCUGGGCACUCUAGGGGAACUGCCCCGGUCAACGGGGAGGAAGGCGGGGACGACGUCAAGUCAUCAUGCCCCUUACGUCCUGGGCUACACACGUGCUACAAUGGCCGGUACAAAGGGAUGCGACACCGUGAGGUAGAGCUAAACCCAAAAAACUGGCCUAAGUUCAGAUUGCAGUCUGCAACUCGACUGCAUGAAGGAGGAAUCGCUAGUAAUCGCGCAUCAGCCCGGCGCGGUGAAUACGUUCCCAGGCCUUGUACACACCGCCCGUCACACCACGAAAGCUGUCUGUACUCGAAGUCGCUGAG
RNAcentral lists this ribosomal RNA (408 nucleotides) under uncultured Methylomirabilota bacterium. RNAcentral's name for it is "bacterial SSU rRNA". It matches the Rfam family "Bacterial small subunit ribosomal RNA", at positions 1027 to 1434 of the family's 1533-position model. The record is from RNAcentral. Lineage: Bacteria; Methylomirabilota (SeqCode).